GACGCGGUUGGAUGUUCUUUGCGAGGCUGCUGAGUCAGAAGCCCGGACGGGCCAGCUGCAGUCUUAAUGAACUGACUCAGGAAGGAAGUGCUUACAGAGAUGGUGUACCGUGCAGUCAGUGGGUGGGAGCAAAUGUCGGCUAGAAGACCUGAGCCUUGGGAAGGGGCGGCCUGAUUCCCGGGGAAGAGCAUUGGCUGGAAGUCUGGAGGCCUGGGCUGGUCUCUGCUCUGCCACUAACUUGCUGCAUGACUUUGAGCCAGAAAAAGAGGGAUCACUCACCCAUUCUCCGUCAGAUACUAAGCUGCUGACUGCCUCAAGGACGAACUUCUCUCCCUUGGCUUUCCAGGCUUGGCCAGAUAGGUAGAGAGAACAUGGACGAACAUUUACCGUGUCAGGCAUGGAGCAGAUUGCCUUAUAUAGUUUUCUCAUCUAAUUCCCAGGACCACCCUCUGAAGCAGGAACUAUUGUUACCGCUGCUUUAUAGACAAAGCGACCUAAGGAACCAAAAGCCAACAACGGCAGCAUUGUGGAUGGAGGCACCAGAGAACACAUCAUCUCUGGCUUUUUGCUGCAGAUCUACAUGGAGAAUCACACAUGGGGCGACAAAGAUUCUCAAGGCCAGAUCCCGCAGAAAUGUCUGAAAGGAAACUUUAAAAAAUGAAUCCGUACGGGUUUUUUGUUGUUGUUGUUGUUGCAGCAUUGUCUAAUAUCAUAUGACUGGAAACAACCUAAAUGUUCGUCAAUAGGGAACUAGUUAAAUAAGUUAUGGUAUAUCAUCAUACAGUGGAAUACUAUGCAGUUGUAAAAAAAAAAAAAAAGAAAGAAUAAAGAAGCAUUUGCUGACA
Molecule: long non-coding RNA, 845 nt
Filed under: Felis catus (domestic cat)
Lineage: Eukaryota; Metazoa; Chordata; Mammalia; Carnivora; Felidae
Description: lncRNA (ENSFCAG00000046178.2)
Source: RNAcentral